This is a non-coding RNA of Peromyscus maniculatus bairdii (prairie deer mouse), 283 nucleotides long. NCBI's taxonomy places the organism in Eukaryota, Metazoa, Chordata, Mammalia, Rodentia, Cricetidae. The record is from RefSeq and is a predicted model, not a curated record.
CUGAAGACCAAACACACCCAGGCAAAUCAGGAAUCAAGGACCACACUGAACAGGAGUCAAAUAUGUCUAAUAACAUGCAUGAGAGUUUUUAGAAUAAGUACAGCAUGUCAACGAGAGAGUGGGUACAUUCAAGUCAAGCAGCUUGUACCAUCACAUCCACAGUCAAAAGCAAUGGGAGAAGACACACAUCCUGGCUUGCCUGCUAGCUUUCUCCUGCCUUCUUCAGUUCAGGACCCCCUGCCUAGGGAAUGGUGCUGCCCACAAUAAGCUAGGUCUUCCUCUA